RNAcentral lists this microRNA (22 nucleotides) under Sarcophilus harrisii (Tasmanian devil). Its description in RNAcentral is "Sha-Mir-7336_5p (mature (guide))". RNAcentral also lists the same sequence under 2 other names. The record is from RNAcentral. Lineage: Eukaryota; Metazoa; Chordata; Mammalia; Dasyuromorphia; Dasyuridae.
UGUGGAUGCAAAGUGUGCGAUG